This 764-nucleotide ribosomal RNA is filed under the name Vibrio sp. a14. RNAcentral describes it as "bacterial SSU rRNA". It matches the Rfam family "Bacterial small subunit ribosomal RNA", at positions 309 to 1066 of the family's 1533-position model. Lineage: Bacteria; Pseudomonadati; Pseudomonadota; Gammaproteobacteria; Vibrionales; Vibrionaceae. The record is from RNAcentral.
CACACUGGACUGAGACACGGUCCAGACUCCUACGGGAGGCAGCAGUGGGGAAUAUUGCACAAUGGGCGCAAGCCUGAUGCAGCCAUGCCGCGUGUAUGAAGAAGGCCUUCGGGUUGUAAAGUACUUUCAGCAGUGAGGAAGGUGUUGUAGUUAAUAACUGCAUCAUUUGACGUUAGCUGCAGAAGAAGCACCGGCUAACUCCGUGCCAGCAGCCGCGGUAAUACGGAGGGUGCGAGCGUUAAUCGGAAUUACUGGGCGUAAAGCGCAUGCAGGUGGAUGAUUAAGUCAGAUGUGAAAGCCCGGGGCUCAACCUCGGAAUUGCAUUUGAAACUGGUUAUCUAGAGUACUGUAGAGGGGGGUAGAAUUUCAGGUGUAGCGGUGAAAUGCGUAGAGAUCUGAAGGAAUACCGGUGGCGAAGGCGGCCCCCUGGACAGAUACUGACACUCAGAUGCGAAAGCGUGGGGAGCAAACAGGAUUAGAUACCCUGGUAGUCCACGCCGUAAACGAUGUCUACUUGGAGGUUGUGGCCUUGAGCCGUGGCUUUCGGAGCUAACGCGUUAAGUAGACCGCCUGGGGAGUACGGUCGCAAGAUUAAAACUCAAAUGAAUUGACGGGGGCCCGCACAAGCGGUGGAGCAUGUGGUUUAAUUCGAUGCAACGCGAAGAACCUUACCUACUCUUGACAUCCAGAGAACUUUCCAGAGAUGGAUUAGUGCCUUCGGGAACUCUGAGACAGGUGCUGCAUGGCUGUCGUCAGCUCGUGUU